UACGUAGGGGGCGAGCGUUAUCCGAAGUUACUGGGCGUAAAGCGCGCGUAGGCGGUCUAUUAAGUCUGAGGUGAAAGGUUCAACGCUCAACGUGAACAGUGCCUUGGAUACUGGUAGACUUGAGUGUGGCAGAGGAGUAUGGAAUUCCUGGUGUAGCGGUGAAAUGCGCAGAUAUCAGGAGGAACACCAAUAGCGAAGGCAGCUCGCUGGGACGGUACUGACGCUAAGGCGCGAAAGCGUGGGGAGCGAACAGG
Molecule: ribosomal RNA, 254 nt
Filed under: uncultured bacterium
Lineage: Bacteria
Description: partial 16S ribosomal RNA
Rfam family: Bacterial small subunit ribosomal RNA
Source: RNAcentral